Molecule: ribosomal RNA, 379 nt
Filed under: uncultured cyanobacterium
Lineage: Bacteria; Bacillati; Cyanobacteriota
Description: bacterial SSU rRNA
Rfam family: Bacterial small subunit ribosomal RNA
Source: RNAcentral
CGAAAGCCUGACGGAGCCAGACCGCGUGAGGGAAGAAAGACCUUGGUUCGUAAACCUCUUUUCUCAAGGAAGAAGAAGUGACGGUACUUGAGGAAUCAGCAUCGGCUAACUCCGUGCCAGCAGCCGCGGUAAUACGGAGGAGGCAAGCGUUAUCCGGAAUUAUUGGGCGUAAAGCGUCCGCAGGGGGCUCAUCAAGUCUGCUGUCAAAGGUCGGAGCUCAACUCCGGUUCGGCAGUGGAAACUGGUGGGCUAGAGGGCGACAGGGGUAGAGGGAAUUCCCAGUGUAGCGGUGAAAUGCGUAGAGAUUGGGAAGAACACCGGUGGCGAAAGCGCUCUACUGGGUCGCACCUGACCCUCAGGGACGAAAGCUAAGGUAGCG